RNAcentral lists this ribosomal RNA (486 nucleotides) under bacterium PML49. RNAcentral's name for it is "bacterial SSU rRNA". It matches the Rfam family "Bacterial small subunit ribosomal RNA", at positions 17 to 498 of the family's 1533-position model. The record is from RNAcentral.
UCCUGGCUCAGAUUGAACGCUGGCGGCAUGCCUUACACAUGCAAGUCGAACGGCAGCACGGGGGCAACCCUGGUGGCGAGUGGCGAACGGGUGAGUAAUACAUCGGAACGUGUCCUGUAGUGGGGGAUAGCCCGGCGAAAGCCGGAUUAAUACCGCAUACGAUCUACGGAAGAAAGCGGGGGAUCGCAAGACCUCGCGCUAUAGGGGCGGCCGAUGGCAGAUUAGCUAGUUGGUGGGGUAAAGGCCUACCAAGGCGACGAUCUGUAGCUGGUCUGAGAGGACGACCAGCCACACUGGGACUGAGACACGGCCCAGACUCCUACGGGAGGCAGCAGUGGGGAAUUUUGGACAAUGGGGGAAACCCUGAUCCAGCAAUGCCGCGUGUGUGAAGAAGGCCUUCGGGUUGUAAAGCACUUUUGUCCGGAAAGAAAACUUCUGGGCUAAUACCCUGAGGGGAUGACGGUACCGGAAGAAUAAGCACCGGCU